AUACUUACCUGGCAGGGUAAAUACCAUGAUUAAGGAGGUGGUUUCCCCAUAGUGAGGCUCUUCCAUUGCAUUACAUUUGGGUUAACCCCUGUGAUAUCCUCAAAUGUGGGAAAAUCAGCUGCAUAAUUUAUGGUAGUGGGGACUCUGUGUUUGUGCUGUCCCUUA
This is a small nuclear RNA of Protopterus annectens (West African lungfish), 165 nucleotides long. RefSeq annotates it as U1 spliceosomal RNA. The record is from RefSeq and is a predicted model, not a curated record. Lineage: Eukaryota; Metazoa; Chordata; Ceratodontiformes; Protopteridae. The transcript has a single exon.